CAUGGAAAGGCCAUUCACUUCAUUUUCAUUUGAUACAUGAUAAAACAAAAAUCAGACUUGGCAGAAUCCGAUAUCAGCACAAAAAUAUUGUAAACAGUUUUCCUGCUAAAUCAAAAUAUGUUUAUCGAAUCGUCGGAUAUGUGUAAGACCAAUAUGUGUACAGACCUAUGUAUGCACGUAGACCAGACCUAUAACUAAAAAAAGUCUAAGCAUUGGAUGCGUGGAAGUGAGUGAUUGAAGGGACAUGCAACUAUCCAUCUUAUCGAUGCCACUCGAAUCCCCCUGAUCUUUCCACCGGUUGGGUAUUUCGCAGGAGGAGGGAGAAUAACUUUUCUUUGCAUUCAUGCUCGCGAUAUUAUUCGAUAUGAUACGUACACUUGAGAUUGAAGACUUUCUUCCGUCCUCGCAUAUUCUGAAUUUAGCUUGCUUAUUCUUUCAAUCCUCAAAGGUAAAUAUGCCUACGGAGAAAAAGGAAAAACAUGUUGAAAGCUCAGGGUAAGUGAAGGUUUGUUUGAGUUCUGAGUAAUCAUGCGAGAUUUGAAAUAUGUAGAUAACGGGCUUACUUCCACCAAAAUGUAUGAUGAAUUGCAUUUCAUCCCAGCUUCACACACAUAUACUCAUCUCAAUCUCUAACUUGUGUCCUUUAUUUCGCAGGAAUUUGUGUACUUUGUGUGUUUGCACAACAAACUCCAAUACUUACAAACUCUAUUCGAAACGAAGAUUGAAAUCAUUCUGUGAUUGAAUUAUAUUUUCUCCGACAGCAACAACAACGAAAUGUAUCCUAAAGUAAGUAAACUAAGGUACGCUCAAAGAUGAAAUUUCAUCCCUGCUUUAUCUCCAAUACUUUGUAUGUUCUCGUACAAAUCAUUAAACCGAGGCAAACAAGCAUCAAGUUUAGAAUCAUCAUCUUGACAUGUUUGUUGUACUUUGAAAGAUAUUUUUCCUUCCACCCAACGCAACACUGGAAAUCGGAAUUCAUGAACAAGUACAUACAUACAUAUGUCCAUCAGUAUUCAGAGACGGUAUAUGCACGGGGAGAGUAGAGCAGACAAACGACUCAAGGGGUGCUAACUACUCGUAUCAGUUACUGAGUAAUUGAGUAAUGAAUUAAUCAUUCGGACAUUUAUAAUCUUACGGAAUUUUCCUUGCUGGAAAGAACAAGUCGAACGUCACACUUAUCUCAAUGCACUACAACGGGGACAUGAUCCUGUGCAAGCCUUGAUUGAAAAUAAACUGAGAAACGUGGUGGAAGACGAGGGAAAAAAACAGUAAUAAAAUGUAGCGUCUACCAGAGUAAGUUUCAAGUGAUUGUUGAAACCAAACCACACAUUCUGAGUCUGCAACGCAUAUCUAAUGGUGAGUAAGUACGAGAGGUAUUAUUAUGAACGGGAGUCAGUAAACUGGUAUGGAUUAAGAAGUGAUGGAUGGAGAUAGAAAUUCCUAAACGUGACGUUGGAUGUCUUGAUAAGUUGAGCCUGAUUUCCAUCAUGCAAGAAAAUGCUCAAUUCCUUUUAGUAAUAUAAGACUUUAAAAUUUUCACUGUAUAUUUAUUGUGGUGAAUAAAGCACAAUCGAGACAAGCUCCGAGCCAACAGUGGGCAUAUUUUUUUAUAUCUCACUCACUCCUACAAUUCGAUGUGGCCACACGAACUAACAUGUUUGCUACAUGGCUGAUAUACACAUAAUGGAUAAAUGUACCAAAGUUUGCGAUGGAUCUACACUCUACGUAUAAUUUA
Folsomia candida is the source of this 1735-nucleotide long non-coding RNA. RefSeq lists it as uncharacterized. The transcript is spliced from 3 exons. The record is from RefSeq and is a predicted model, not a curated record. NCBI's taxonomy places the organism in Eukaryota, Metazoa, Arthropoda, Collembola, Entomobryomorpha, Isotomidae.